RNAcentral lists this transfer RNA (73 nucleotides) under Pedobacter sp. IW39. RNAcentral describes it as "tRNA-Arg". It matches the Rfam family "tRNA". Rfam says of the family: Transfer RNA (tRNA) molecules are approximately 80 nucleotides in length. The record is from RNAcentral. Lineage: Bacteria; Pseudomonadati; Bacteroidota; Sphingobacteriia; Sphingobacteriales; Sphingobacteriaceae.
GCAUCCAUAGCUCAGCUGGAUAGAGCAACGUUUUCUAAACCGUAGGUCAUAAGUUCGAAUCCUAUUGGGUGUA